Molecule: long non-coding RNA, 19393 nt
Organism: Loxodonta africana (African savanna elephant)
Lineage: Eukaryota; Metazoa; Chordata; Mammalia; Proboscidea; Elephantidae
Exons: 2
Source: RefSeq, a predicted model, not a curated record
AUAAGGGUGCUUCUAUCAUUACUUUUAUUAAACAUUUAACACUGGAAGUGUAAGCUAGUACAAAAAAACAAAAAGUAUAAAUGCUAUUCAUAGAUUAUAAGACUGUCUCCAUUGAAAACUGUAGAAAAUACUGGAAUUAAUAAUAAUCAUAAAUAUAAAAUAAAUUGAAAUUUCAAUGCAUCACCAUCGAGCUGACUCUGUCAUAACUCUUAGGUGAAAGCAAAGGACACUGAUAGGGAAAGAGCAGGUUCGGGUGGGCUAGACCAAGGAGGGAAGAAAAUUAUUCUGCACUGGGCUGAACUUAUAAGCACGGUUAUGUGUGUUAGUUACCUAGUCCCUCCAUAACAAAAAAUAUCACAACUAGAUGGCUUUAAAGAACAGAAAUUUACUUUCUCACGGUUUAGCAGGUAGUCGUUCGAAUUCAGGGCAUGGCUGUAGUGGGAGGUCCUUCCUUGUCUACCUCAGCUUCUAGUAGAUGCCAGCAAUCAUUUGUGUUCCUGGCCUUCUAGAAGCAUCUGUCUUCUUUGUCUGUCUUCCUUUUCACCUGUUUGUGUCUGUGUGUGUUCUGCUCCUUUUAUAACUAAGAAGAGUUAGGCUUAGGACCCACCCUACAUUGGUAUGACCUCAUUCACAUAAUAAAAGCAGGCCCCCUCUUUCCUAACAAGGUCAGAUUUACAGGUACCGGGGUUAGGAUUUCCACAUACAUUUUGGAGGGACACAAUUCAAUCCCUAACAGUCGACUUACCAGAUACUCUGGAUUGAGAGUACUCGCAUGAACAGCUGAGAGUGGUUCCAAUUCUUUGCUACAUUCGUUGGCUGAAACUUGUCUCAAUGGUCAUCCAUAGGAAUGCUGGAGCAAUUUAUUGUGUAGGACCUAGCCAACCAUUCCUAAUCACGUCCAUUGUGUGGAAAAACACACAAUCCCAUCACUGAAGCCUUGAGAAAUUCAUCGAUAAGAAUGGAAUGGUGGUUGGAACCAAGAAUUGUUUCAUAGCCUAGAUAACAUGGUGUGGGUGUUAGAUAUUCACAUGGAGAUGUCAGGUAAUAAAACUUCACCCCACAUGGGGAUGUCAAGAAUAAUACCAACAGCUAAUGUUCAUUGAGUACCUACACUGGUGCCAGGCACUCCUGUGCUUUCCCUUUCAUGUUUGCUUUUCAUGAUGGCCAUAUGAGGAAUGUAUCAUUAUAAUGCAUAAAGAGGUCAAUACAGAGAGUUAGGCUGACAUUUCAAUAUAUGAGUCUGGACCCAGGAGGAGUUUGAAUGGAUGGAGGUAUAAACCUCACGUCCUUAGCUACAAAUAGACAGCAGUAAACUCACUGAGGCAUCCUACAGGGAGGGUGUCAAUAGAGAGAGGAGCAGGCACCAAGCCCAAGGGUACUCUGGUAUCUAGAAGCCUGCCAGGUGAACAGCAGCCAACAAGCCUCUCUGAAGUCCAGUGUGGUUCCUGGAGGGUUGUCUGUCCUUGCUCUCAGCUGCAUUUCCCCAGUGCUCCUCCCACCUGCACUGGGUUGUCCCCUUCAUGACGACAGGGACAGUGUGUACCUUUCACCACUGUAUCUGCAUAACAUAGACUAUUUCUGGCCCAUGGAAUAUACUGACUGAAUGAAAAAUAAACAAAUGAUAAGGACGUAAAAUGCUUCGUAGUUGAUACCUUGGGAUACAUUAAGGGGCUUCAUGAGUAAGAGGGAGAAAAACUGAUCAGGGCUGCUUCUGAGACCAUCUCUUAGGCGUAAAGAGUGUUAAACAAUAAUUAAACAAAGAGAUUUAAUGGCAGAGAUGUAUGUUAAAAAGAUGUAAGUAUACAUUGAAGAUUACUAGAAACAUGCACAUUUAUUAUUGCAACUAUAGUUCAAAUUGUUAAAAAACAUAUACUACAUGCACACAGAAUAUUAUAAAGUAAUUUAAUGCCCUCAUUAAAAAAAAACAAAAAAAAUUUAUCAUGAGAAAAGACUAAUGAUGAAUGAAAAUAUCAGGAUAUAAUAUCUGUGUUAAUGUACAUAAAUGUGUGUGCUAAUACACACAUAAAACCAGUUGCCACUGAGUCAGUUCUGAUUCAUGAUGACGCCAGUGUGCCAGAGUAGAACUGUACUCCAUAGGGGUUUCAGUGGCUGGGUUUUCGGAAGUAGGCUGCCAGACCUCUCUUUCACAGCAAUUCUGGGUGGACCUGAACUCCAACUUUCUGUCAGCAGCUCAAGAUAUUAACCAUUUGCAUCAACCAGAGACUCUAAUACGCAUACAUGCCAAUGUAAGUAAGAUAACAGACAUAUCGGAACGUUAAUAAUUUAUUCUAUGCAUUACGUAUGUUUUCUUGUUAUUUAUUGCAUAUUUUCCCAUUGCUUCCAAGUUUUUGAGGAAUAGAAUGUACUUCUGGAAAAAUUCAUGAGAGAUUUUUAAGUAAUGAAAUAAUUAACAGAAACAGAAUGAGUAAAUCUGUGGCAAGGCAGCCCAUGAACCCAAGAUUACAGUAACACUGGUAUGAAAAGGAGAAUUGUGGAGUCCUGAAGCUCAGUGGUCCCAUGCAUGCAUCAGGAAAGAGGGAAGAGCAAAUAAACGAGGAGAAAAUACAGUGAGCCAGAGGAGUGGGAGCCCUCUGUUGUGGGCACAGUUUUCUCAUGAAACUUUAGAUGGACACAAUGGGUGGGAUUAUCCACUUCCAUCACACAAACAUUUUUAUUACCCUUGAUUUUAACGGAACUAUGUUAUAAAAACAAAUGAUAAAAUAAAGUAUAAUAAAAGAAUAAAUCUCAUAGUGGACUACUAUCAUUUUCCCCAGCCACUGAGGAGGGCAGGAGACACACACGGGAAAGAAGAUGGAGCAGUGUGAAGAAUCAUGCUUAGUGAGGAGGGGAGUGUUUCUGAGACAGGCCUUACCUGCUACCACCUAGGGAAGUAGGCAGCCGUGCAGGACCAACUGGAAGAAAUGGCACAUUAUUUCUGAGACCUACUCCAGCUCAUAACAAAUUAUGGAUAACAUGGGGAAGAAUGAGAUUUCCAGGACACUUAAUUGUUCUCAUGAGAAACCUGUACAUAGAAAAAGAGGCAGUCAUCUAAACAGAACAAGGAAUACUGCAUGGUUUAAAGUCAAGAAAGGUGUGCAUCUCCAUUGUAUCCUUUCACCAUACCUAUUCGACCUGUAUGAUGAGCAAAUAAUCCGAGAAGCUGGACUGUCUGAAGAAGAAUAAGGCGUCAGGAUUGGAGGAAGACUCAUUAAUAACCUGAGAUAUGCAGAUGAUACAAUCUCGCUUGUUGAAAGUGAAGAGGCCUUAAAGCAUUUACUGAAGAAAAUCAAAGACUACAGACCAAGAGCCUAACAACAGGACCAAUAAGCAACAUCAUGACAACGGAGAAAAUGUUGACAUCGCUAAGGGCUUCAUUUUACUUGGAUCCACAAUAAACACCCACGGAAGCAGCAGUCAAGAAAUCAAACGACACAUUGCAUUGGGCAAAUCUGCUGCCAGAGACCUCUUUAAAGUGUUCAAAUGCACAGAUGUCACCUUGAAAACUAAUGUGCGCCUGACUCAAGCCAUGGUGUUUUCAGUCACCUCAUACGCACACGAAAGGUGGGCAAUGAAUAAGGAAGACUAAAGAAAAAUUGAAGGCACUGAAUUACGGUAUUUGCAAAGAAUAUUGAAUAUACCACGGACUGCCAAAAGAAUGAACAAAUCUGUCUUGAAAGAAGUACAGCCAGAAUAUUCCUUAGAAGCAAGAAUGGCGAGGCUUCAUCUCACAUAUUUUGGACAUGUUGUCAGGAGAGAUCAGUCCCUGGAGAAGAAAGUCAUACUUGGUAACAAGUGGCCACAACAACCGGCUCAAACAUAACGACGACUGUGAAGGCGACAAUAGCCACUGAGGAGGGCAGGAGACACACACGGGAAAGAAGAUGGAGCAGUGUGAAGAAUCAUGCUUAGUGAGGAGGGGAGUGUUUCUGAGACAGGCCUUACCUGCUACCACCUAGGGAAGUAGGCAGCCGUGCAGGACCAACUGGAAGAAAUGGCACAUUAUUUCUGAGACCUACUCCAGCUCAUAACAAAUUAUGGAUAACAUGGGGAAGAAUGAGAUUUCCAGGACACUUAAUUGUUCUCAUGAGAAACCUGUACAUAGAAAAAGAGGCAGUCAUCUAAACAGAACAAGGAAUACUGCAUGGUUUAAAGUCAAGAAAGGUGUGCAUCUCCAUUGUAUCCUUUCACCAUACCUAUUCGACCUGUAUGAUGAGCAAAUAAUCCGAGAAGCUGGACUGUCUGAAGAAGAAUAAGGCGUCAGGAUUGGAGGAAGACUCAUUAAUAACCUGAGAUAUGCAGAUGAUACAAUCUCGCUUGUUGAAAGUGAAGAGGCCUUAAAGCAUUUACUGAAGAAAAUCAAAGACUACAGACCAAGAGCCUAACAACAGGACCAAUAAGCAACAUCAUGACAACGGAGAAAAUGUUGACAUCGCUAAGGGCUUCAUUUUACUUGGAUCCACAAUAAACACCCACGGAAGCAGCAGUCAAGAAAUCAAACGACACAUUGCAUUGGGCAAAUCUGCUGCCAGAGACCUCUUUAAAGUGUUCAAAUGCACAGAUGUCACCUUGAAAACUAAUGUGCGCCUGACUCAAGCCAUGGUGUUUUCAGUCACCUCAUACGCACACGAAAGGUGGGCAAUGAAUAAGGAAGACUAAAGAAAAAUUGAAGGCACUGAAUUACGGUAUUUGCAAAGAAUAUUGAAUAUACCACGGACUGCCAAAAGAAUGAACAAAUCUGUCUUGAAAGAAGUACAGCCAGAAUAUUCCUUAGAAGCAAGAAUGGCAAGGCUUCAUCUCACAUAUUUUGGACAUGUUGUCAGGAGAGAUCAGUCCCUGGAGAAGAAAGUCAUACUUGGUAACAAGUGGCCACAACAACCGGCUCAAACAUAACGACGACUGUGAAGGCGACAAUAGGUAGUUUAACAUACAUUUUGACCCAUACGAAUUAAAAUUUAAACAAUUAUUUCAUGCCUUUUUGUAGCGGUUUCAGAAUAUACAAUUAAAAUAAAUGUAAACAAUUAAUAGAAAAAAUCUCUGAAAAUAACAUUUAAUUUUUUAAAGUCACUGCUCCAUAGCCCAAAUCUAAAUGGCUUGAUAUAAAGCACUGGUAUUUGUGAUUCACAAAAAGCAGGUACCAAUUCCUGAACAAGAACUGAAGUGACAGGAGAAACUCCCCAUGCUGUUAGAGCCCUGAGUAUGGGCCCUAAUCCAAUAAUCUGUCCUCAUUAAUUCCUUUUCAUUUCAUCUCUGUGAAAGAGGGGAGGGAGAAGGUGAGAGAGGGUUACAUGUGCCUAUUCUGUUCUUUAGCAUCUAGUUCACUGCCAGGAACAACUAUUCAUAACAGGCUACAAAACAUUAAAGUACAAAUAAGGAGGAAAACCUCCUAGUAUAUAUAUGUAUUAGGUGGCACAAAGAGUUAAGUGCUCAGCUACUAACUGAAAGGUUGGCAGUUUAAAUCCACUCAGUUGCCUUGGAAGAAAGGCCUGGCAAUCUACCUCCAAAUGGUCACAGCUAUUGAAAACCGUAUGGAGGGCAGUUCUACUCUGAAAACUCACGGGGUCGUCAUGAGUGAAAAUCUACUCAACGGCAAGUGGAUUGGUAAUCUAUAUAUGGCAUAAAUGUUCGGAAAAUUAGUUUCUGAACAUAUACACGGCAUACAGAAUACACUGCACAUUAGUAUUAUGUGCCAAAACCCACUGUCAUCAAGUCGAUUCUAACUCAUAGUGACCCCAAAGGACAGAGUAAAACUGCCCCAUAGGGUUUCCAAGGCUGUAAGUCUUCACUGAAGCAGACUGCCACAUCUGUCUCCUGCAGAGAGGCUGGUGGGUUCGAACCACUGACCUUUCAGUUAACAGCCAAGUUCUUUAGCCACACAGCCGCUAGGGCUCACUGCUGUCAUGUACAGUGAUUACAUAAGCAAAUUCUGAAACAAACUGCCUGGGUUUAAAUCCUAACUCAAUCUAUCAGCUGGUUGAUCUGGGAAUGUUACUUUAUCUCUCACUGCCUCAGUUUCCCAUUUCUAAAAUGGGUCUUAUUCAAAAGGUUGUUACGCAGGUUAAAUAAAACACACAAGGCACUUAGAAAAAGGCCUUACACACAGAAUGAACACAAUAAAUGUUAGCUUUCAUAAUUAUUAAGGGAAUACAAACAGCUUAGUUGAAGAAACUUCCAUUGAGAAAUAGUUGCGUUCCAAAAUUCAUGUGUAAAGUCAUUUACAUCAACUGUUAAAGUUGUAUGUUUAGAUUCAAGUGAUUACUGAGGUGUGUUAUGAUCUUGAACAGAGUUCAGGGGACUAUACAGGCUGACUCUGCAUGCCCUUCUCCUGCACAUCCAUUCCAUCUCCCUUGGAGCCCAGACAUCAUGUUAUCAAUUAAACCCCUCCCACACUGGUGGUGUACUGUUUAAGAGCUAUGGCUGCUAACCAAAAGGUCAUCAGUUCAAAUCCACCAGGCGCUCCUUGCAAAGUCUAUGGCACAGUUCUGCUCUGCCCUAUUGGGCCGCUAUGAGUUGGAAUAGACUCAGUGGCAAUGGGUUUUUAAUGGGUAUGAGUUAACUGUUCAGUGCUUAAAGACAUACCCAAAGCAACCACGAACACAAAAGUAUAGUAAAAAGUUCUUAUUUCAGAAUAGCAACACCUUUUUCUAACACAGUGGUGAAUUAGGGUGGACUGUGGAUCAAGAGGAGGCCUGGUGGCAUAGUGGUUAAGAGCUCAGCUGCUAACCAAAAGGUCAGCAGUUCGAAUGCACCAACUAGUCCUUGGAAACUCUAUGAGGUAGUUCUACUCUAUGCUAUAGGGUCUCUAUGAGUUAAUAUCAACUAGGGUCUGUACGGGUUGGAAUCAACUUGAUGGUGACAAGUUUGAUUUGGUUUGGAUUAAAUUAUGACCCUAAAAAACGUGUGUUUCAACUUGGUUAGGCCAUGAUUCCCACUAUUGCCUAGUUGUCCUUCAUUUUGUGAUUGUAAUUUUACUGUAAGAGGAUUAGGGUGGGAUUGUAACACCACCCUCACUCAGGUCACCUUUCCCUGAGGUGUGGCCUGCACCACCUUUUAUCUCGCAAGAGGUAAAAGGAAAGGGAAGCAAGCGGAGAGUUGGGGUCCUCAGACUAUCAAGAAAGCAGCACCAGGAGCAGAGCAUGUCCUCUGGACCCAGGGUCCCUGCACCUGAGAAGCUCCUUGACCAUGGGAAGGAUAAGGACAAGGACCUUCUUCCAGAGCCGAAAGAGAGAGAAAACUUUCCCUUAGAGCUGAUGCCUUGGACUAUUAGCCUACUUUAAUGCGAGGUAUUAAAUUUCUCUCGGUUAAAGCCAUCCACUCAUGGUAUUUCUGUUAUGGCAGCACUAGAUGAUGAAGACAGUGGGUAAAGGUGGAAGGGGUGGAUGAAGGACAAAAAAAGAAAAAUGGACAACAAGAGAAAUAUAAGAAUUCAGAGAACUGUGAAAAUUUAAUUCCUGAAUAUACUUUCUUUCUCCUCCCUGUAACUGUAAGGACUUUUCUCAUAUACAGCAUAUAUAAGUAAAUCCUUGCAAUAUUUAAAACACUUAGAUUUUUGUAAAACUCAUUCUCUGAAAACUCAUGGUGGCCCCAUUAAUUUGUGGCUUAAAAACAACUCAGAACUAAAAAGAAGCAUAAAUAAAUAAAUAAAGGCACUGCUGUCAUUUGCGGGUGAUGUUCUUUUCCUGCUAUCCACAACCCACACACUUGGGAGUUAAUUUUCCAGGGUCAGUGUUCACAGACCAUCCUCUUUCUCUCACCACCACCCCACCACCCUUAAUUAUUUAGAAAAGGCAGGGCCAGUCAGUGCUCCAAACAUCAAGAUUUCUCUCUAAAAUGCCAACUCGCACUUGGGGAGCAGGCUACAUUCUCAGCUAUCAGCAAUUCCACUAGCCCCUGCAGAUAAGGAACAUGUCUCCACUGAACUGUUCGUUGUAAUUAAAAAAACAAAAAAAGUAAAAAACUGUUUCUUAAAACCAGAAAAAAAAAAAAAAAAACAGGCAUUUCCCUAUUACCCACCCACCCCACUCUCCCACACCGAGUGCUCCCCUCACCACACACACACUCAAAUAUUUCCUACCAAGGGUGUGUCCCAAGCUCGGGGUCUGGCUCCGCUCUUCUUUUACACCUCUUGGAGGCCUCUGGAGAAACCAUACCUUUGGUUGGCAAUUCCCUGAACCCUGCCUAUUUAAGCUGGCACUUAUUCAAAAAGGCAGGUGAGUCUUCAAGUCAGGUUUUUAAAAGGAGUUUAAGAGGAGCCAGGUGAUAUGCCUACUCACCCUCAAGUUUCUCAAAGGUAAUAAUUUCUUGAGAUGUUUACAAUGUCUCAACUAUGGGUUAAUUAAAUCCCUUAGGAUGGUGGGCAUAGGAAAAUCCUGCAUCUCAAUGCCCCCCACUUUGAAAAAAAAGAGGGGGAAUCUCCAAAAUCACAAAUUUGAAUUUCUACAUACUUGAUUGAACUAAGGAGUAAGUUCCUCAUGUGUGUUAUUCUUGGUUUGAGCUUGGUGGUGCAGUGGUUAAGAGCUCAGCUGCUAACCAAAAGGUCUGCUGUUUGAAUCCAACAGCUGCUCCUUAGAAACCGUAUGGGGUAGUUCUACUCCGUCCUAUAGGGUUGCUAAGAGUCAGAAUUCACUGGAUGGCAAUUGGUUUGUUUGUUUUUCAAUCUUUGGCUGAAAGGUAGACUUUGUUAUCAAUUUAUUAAAUCAACUGGUAAUUUGCUGGAUAUUUCUCAUACAGGAACUUAUGAUGUCUUCAAAUCCAGCCAAUCAGGUUUAGGAAGAGAGAAACUUCUCUACCUUAGCCUCCCUGCCACUCCCACACCUUUUUCAUUGAUUUCCAUGCCCUGUUUAAGUAACAUCACUCCUCACUUCUCACUGUCUAGGUUAUCUGAGCCAAUUCAUGGCAGUCAAUUCCACCUGAGCCCUAGGAUACCCUCAUUUACAUACUCUGCCCUGUUCCUUCACCAAUGGCUGACCUCACAUCUCCCCUUGAAUGUCUACUAGGCAUCUCAAACUUAAUGUGGUUCAAAUAAAAUUCUUCGUCCAAGUGUCUUAUCUACCUCCCAGUCUUCCUUAUCUCAGCAAAUGUUCUCACUAUCCUCUGGAUUGUUCAGGACAAAAACCUAGAAAUCAUCCUUGAUUUCUCUCCUUUAUUCAAAUCUUGCAUCCAAUCCAUUGACACAUAUUCUGGACUCUUGGCGCUACCUUAAAAUAAAUCCUGACUCUAUCCACUUCUCACUACCUCCACCUUACAGCCACCAUCAUCUCUUGGUGAAAACUGGACUCCGUGCCACCGAUCUUCCCUCUUACAGUCUACAUAACAGCAUCACCUCAGUGCCUUCUCAUGGCAAUUAGGAAAAAUUCCCAAAUCCUUCCCAUGGUCUUUCAUGAUGCGGGGCUUGCCCACCAUACUAACCUCAUUUCCUAACAGUCUUCCCUCGGUUCACUCCACACUAGCCAUGACUUAUUUCCUGAGCUUCCUCAAAACAUGCCAGAACACUUGGUUAUUAAAGGGCCUCAGAAACAACUCUUUCCUUUAUUGGCAAUAUCCUCCCUCCAGAACUUCAUACAGCUAUUCUCUCCUUUGAUAUAGGUCAGUUAUCUCCUCAAAUAUCCUGAUCCCAUAAGCCUUUACUAACUAUUAAUCUAAAACAGCUCACCCCACUCAUUCCCUCACAUGCAACUCUGUCUUAUUUUCAAAAUAUUUAGCUCUCCUUGACAUUUUUUGUUAAUUAUUACCUGUAAAUGUAUUUUUUGUGGUUGAGAAUAUAUGCAGCAAAACAUACACCAACUCAACAGUUUCUACCUGUACAAUUUAACGACAUCGGUUACAUUCAAGUUGUGCAACCAUUCUUACCCUCCUUUUCUGAGUAGUUCCUCUGUCAUUAGCAUAAACCCACUGCUCCUUAAGGUUCCUAUCUAAUCUUUUCAGUAGCUGUUGUCAAUCUGAUGCCAUAUAGACAGUUCUUAAAAGAGCAUAUGCUCAAGGUAGACCAUUUUUAUUAGUUAAGUAGCUAAUGUUCUGGAGCCCUCGUGGCACAGUGGUUAAGUGAUACGGUAGCCAAGCAAAAGAAGAGCAGUUUGAAUCCACCACCUGCACCUUGGAAACUCUAUGGGGCAGUGCUAUUCUGUCCUACAGGGUCUCUGAGUCGGAAUCAACUCAAUGGCAACAGUAUGGUGUUUUCUUUUUUAUACUUCAGUUUUAAGAUGAUUCAAGGGAAGGCUUUUGGUGUAAUGUUUAAAGAUUAUCUCACGGCAAUAGUUUCAGGAGUUCAUUCACCCUCAAUGGCUCCAAAAAGUCUAGGGUUCAUGAGAAUUUGAAAUUCUGUUCUGCAUUUUCCCCCUUUUGAUCAGGGCUUUGCUAUGGACUCUUUGAUCAAAAUGUUCAGCGACAGUAGCCGGGAACCUUCUGGUUCUUCUGGUCUCAUGGCAUGCUAGAUGUUCUUUUAAAAAACAUGAGUGGAUGCUGGAGGUUAUCAAAUACUUAUUUUAUUACACCUAUUAGUAUAACCACAUUUAUUUUUCCUGUACAUAUGGCAAAUUGUACUGAUUCAUUUUUGAAUGUUAAACUAACCUUGAAUUCUUGGGAUAGACCCAACUUGGUCAUAAUAUAUUCUUCUUUAGAGUAUUGCUGGAUUUGUUUUGCCUAUUUCUUUUUAUAUUUUGCAUCUAUGUUCAUCAGUGACAUUGGCCUGUAAUUUUCCCAUCUUGUGCUGCUCUUGUCAGGUUUUGGUAUCAAUAUUCAUUCUACAAGCUUUAUAAAAUGAGUUUGGGUAUAUAUUUCAUUUUAUAUUGAAGAAUUUGUGAAGUAUUUCUUGAAUAUUUGGCAGAAUUUGCAGGAAAAGCCAUCUGACAUGAAGUUUUCUUUUUGAGAAUAGUUUGAGCUCCAAUUCAAUUCUAUUAACAAUUGUGGAAUUACUUUUGCUUCCUGUUUCUUCUUGAAUCGUUGUUAUUAACUUACAUGGUAUGAUACGUUUGCCUACUUUACCUAAAUUUGCAAAUUUAUUAGCUAAUAUGGUUCAUAACAUUCUCACAUUAUCUUUAAGUUCUGCAAGAUCUGCAGUCAUUUUCUUUCUAAUUCCUGAUAUUCGUUAUUUAUACCUUCAUUCUUUUUCACUUGAUCAAUCUUGCCUAAAGUUUGUCAAUUUUACUAGCAUUUUCUAAGAAUUCACUUUAGUCUUCGUUGAUCGUCUGUUGCAUGUAUCCAAUCAUUAAUAGAAACAAAAAUUCCUAUGAAUGUUUGUUUCUGUUUUUUUCCCAACAUUUUGAAUGGAUGUUUAACUCACUUAUUUUUCAAAAUUUGUUCUUUCCAAUUAUAUUUUUAAGGCUAUAAGUUUCCUAUAUUAUAUUGUCUGUACUGCACCAAUUUUUAUAUGUACUAUGUUCAUAAUUGUUCCCUUCAAAAUAUAUUCUAAUUUUCAUUAUGAUGUCUUUUUUAAUGCCUAGUAUUUUAAAAUAUCCAAGCACAUGGAGAUUUUGUAUUUUCUUUUUCUAAGAUGGUUUUUUUUUUAAACUAUGCUGUACUUACACAGUAUCCUCUAUAUUAUUGCAGACUCUUGAAAUUUGUUGAGACUUGCUUUAUAACACAGUAUACAGUUAAUUUUUAUAAACACUAUGUAUGUGCAUGAGAUGAAUGUAUAUUCUUUAGUGGUUAGAUAAUGCACACACAUACACAUAUAUCAAUUUGGUAUUUUUAUACAUGUUAAAUCUUCUGUAUCCUUGACAAUUUAUGGACUUCUAUGUUUCUGAGGGGUGUGUUAAAAAUCUAUUAUGAUGCAUGAUGUCAAAAGGAGCCCCAGUAGUGCAGUGGUUAAGCACUCAGCUGUUAAACCUUUUGAUUUGAUCCACCAACUAUUCCACAGGAGAAAGAUAUGACAGUUUCCUUCCAUAAAGAUUACAGCCUUAGAAACCCUUUGGAGAAGUUCUACUCCAUCCUAUAGUCACUAUGAGUCAGAACUGACUCAACAGCACAUAAGAAAAAAUGUAUGAUGUGAUGGAAACUGAGCAGUACGAAGGUAUAAGAAUUGAACCUACAUCCAGGGUCAAAGGAUGAAGGACAGAGAAAACAGCAGAGACAUCCAAAAGCUUGGAAAAAAGGGGGCUGAGAGGACAAUGGUUGGUGGUUUAAGGGCUUUGAAGGGCUACCACAUAUACUGAGGAAUCUGAAGUGCAAUAUUCUUGCCUAAGGAUGAAGACAUGCUCAUAAAGAUCCUGACAAAGCUUUAGGCUUGCACCUCUGGCUGAUCUUUGGGCUCCACGGGGGCAGGAAGUGAAGGCUAAGGCAGAGUUUUAGGCACUCUUGCUUAGCACUGAAAGAACACCCCAGUUCAGAGCCAAUCUGCAAAGACUGGGAUAAUGUUACUUUUUCUUUUUGGCUACAAGCAUUUAAAGAAAUCACUGUCAGGUCAUGAACUGACUGCUGUCAUAACAGAACAGAACUUCAGUGUCCACACAUGAGAAGACAUACAAUCUUUGCAGAACUAGUUUGGAAACAUCACUAAGCAAAUGGAUGACUGGCCCUCAACAAUUAAAAAAAAAAAAGCAAACUCUAAUGACUGGAGGGAAUCUGAUUUCCAGAGUUACAUUAUAAUAUUUAAGAUAUCCAGUUUUCAACACACUAUUUUAAGUCAUAAAAGGAAAAAGAAAAGGAUGGUUCAUUUGUUAAGAAGAAAGAAAGAAGAGAAUGAACAGAAAGCAUCCCUAAGGAAACACAGAUAUUGGGAUUACUAGACAAAGAUUUUAAACCAAUUGUCUUAAAUUUCCUCAAAGAGCUAAAGAAACCAUAGACCAAAAAAAAAAGGAAACCAAGAGAAGAAUGUAUGAACCAGUAGAAAAUAUUAAUAAAGAAAUAUUAUACAAAAGAACCAAAUAGAAAUUAUAGAGCUGAAAAGUAGAAUAGCUGAAAUAAAAUUUUCAUUAGAGGAGCUCAACAGCAGAUUUGAGCAAGAAAGCAGGAAAAUGUAAACUUGAAAAAGCACAACUGAAAUUGUUCUAACUGAGGAGCGUAAAGGAAAAAGAAUGAAGAAAAUGAACAGAGCCUAAGGGACCUGCGGGACAACAUCAAGCAUACCAAUAUACUCAUUAAGGAGUCCCAGAAAGGAAAGAAAGAUGAAAGGACAGAAAGAAUAUUUGAAAACGUAAUGACUGGAAGUCUCCCAAAUGUCAUCUAGAUAUCCAAGAAGCUCAAUAAACUCAAAGGACAAUAAAUACAUAGAUAUCCACAGACAGACAUAAUCAAAAUGUCAAAAGACGAAGACAGAAACUUGAAAGUAGCAAGAGAUAAGUGACCCCUAAUGUACAAGAAGAGAGUCUCAACAAGUUUAACUGUUGAUUUUUCAUCAGACACCAUUGAGAUGAGAAAAUAGUGGGAUGAUGUAUUUAAGAUACUGGAAAAAAAAAUACAGAAACAAAACUAUGAACCAAGAUGUCAGUAUCUAGCAAAACUAUCUUUCAAAAAUAAAGGGGAAAUUAAGACAUGCCCAGAUACACAAAACCUGAGGGAGUGUGUUAGCAGCAGAACUGCCUUAUGAGAAAUGCUACAGGGAAUCAUUCUGGCUGGCAUGGAAGGACACUAGACAGUAACUGGAAGCCAUAAAAAGAAACAAAGACUCCAUAAAGGUAACUACUUAGAUAAAACAAAGUCAGUAAUAUUUUUAUAUCAUGCCUCUCUUUUUUUCCUAUAUGAUUUAAAGCACGAAUGCAUAAAAAUACUUACACAUCUCUCUUAAUGGACACACAAUGUAUAAAGAUGCAAUUUUUGUACCAGCAACGUAAGUAGGGGAGGUAACUGAGCUGAAUAAAAGCAGAAUUUUGUAUACUGUUGAGGCUAAAUUUGUAUUAAUUAAAAGAAGAUUGUUAUAAAUAUAAGAUAUUAAUUGUAAUCCUCAUGCUCACCACUAAGAAGUUAAAAAAUAUAAGGAAAGGAAACAAGGAGAGGAUCAAAAUUGUACACUUGAAAAAAAAUCAGUCAAACACAAAAGUGCACAGUAGUGAAGAAAAUGAGAAACAAAAUACGUAUAUGACCUACUAUUACAAAGUAGAAGAUAUAAGUCCUUCCUUAUCAUGAAUUGCUUUAAAUAUAAAUAGAUUAAAUUCACAAUUGGGAUCAUUAAAGUUGUGUGUUAACUUUGUUGGACCAUGAUUCUCAGUGCUUUGGCAGUUAUGAUGUAGUUUAGCAGUCGUAAAACGAUGCAAUCACUUCCAUGAUGAGAUGUGAUAUAAUGUGAUUACCUCCAUGAUGGGAUCUGCUGUGAGUAGCCAAUCAGAUGUUUCCUCAGGGGUGUGGACUGCAUCCAAUAUAGGUGGACUUUCUGGCAAGGCUCUUGAGCUUUUGCUCACUCUGAAUCCUGCAGCUGGCUCCUCUUCAUCUGAUCUCAAGUUUUUGGGACUUGAACUCUCAGCUUACCUUCCAAUUUGGGGAUUCAUCAGCCUCCGCAGUCUGUGAGCCGCGGGCUGCCAGCUUACCUGCCGAUCUUGAGAUUUGUCAGCCUUUGCAGCCUGUGAGCCACAGACCUGUUGUAUGACCUGCAGAUCUUCAGUUCUGCAGUCCCUGCAUCUAUGUGAGUCAGGAGAAGCCACCAGGCUGACCCAUGGACUUGAGACUUACCAGCCUCUACAGCCUCGGGAGCCAUUUCCUUGAUAUAAAUCUAUUUAUAUAUAAAUACAUACAUAUAUAUAUAUAUCACUGGUUUUGCUUCUCUAGAGAACCCAGCCUAAGAUACCAAUUAAAAGACAAACACUGGCAGAAUGAAUAAAAAAAUCAUUCAAUUGCUAUCAAGCUGAUCUGACUCAGGGUGACCCCUCGCCCCAUGUGUGUCAGAGUAGUAGUGACACACAAGUGUGUCAGUUCAACGGCUAAUUUUUCAAAAGUAGAUCGCCAAGCCUUUCUUCCGAAGUGCCUCUGGGUGGACUCAAACCUUCAACAUUUUGGUUAGCAGCUGAAUGCAUUAACCGUUUGCACCUCCCAAGGACUCUAUGUUUAUUUCUGUAUUACUUGUCUUUAUACUAUAUACAUACACACACACAUAGACAUCCAUGAGUGGUUCAUACAGAUGCUUUGGACUUCGACUAGCAGGGCUCUAUUAAUUAUUGAUAGAAAAGUACUGAUACCAAUUACAAAUGCGUAUUUGUCCAUUUCCCCUUUCGGAUUUAUUAGUUUUUGUAUUUUGGAGCCCUGUUGUUAAAUAUGUACACAUUUAGGAUGGUUGUAUCUUUUUGGAGAAGUGAACCUCUAUUAUGUUAUGUCCCUACCUAUUCCCAAUAAUACUCCUUUUUCUGAAGUAUAAUUUGUCUGAUAUUAAUAUAGUACUGCAGUAGAACUGGAUAAUUUUCAACCAUUUCAAGAGGUAGCAUAAGAUCAAGAACUGAUGGUAUAAAAGGAAGAAAUCGAAGCUGCAUUGAAGGCAUUGGUGAAAAAACUAUCCUCUCUCCACCAUCUUCACUAACCCUGACACCAACUGUCCCUCACACAGCACUCCCUACUUCUCUGCUGGGUUCAAUAAUUCAUUGCAACGGCCACACAGAGCUCACAGUCCAUAUUCAUGAUUAUGGGGUUUAUUAGGGAAGUAACAGUUAUAACUCAGGCUCAAAGAUACUCAGAAUACAUUUCUUCUAUCAGGACAACCUCUUCCCUCCUGUGCUCGUAGGCGUGCCUCUGCCUGGCCUUGGGCCUCUCUCCAAAGGCACUCAGCUUUCCUUCUCCCUGGGCCAGCAUCUCCUAUAGCCGGGUCCCUGUUGCUUGGUCUCUCCUGCCAUGGCAUCUUACCGUCUUCAGGGUUACAGCUUCCUCUCUCUAUCUCAGUCUCCUGCUUCUAGGAGCUUCUCAGUGCAGGGAUCUCAGGUCCAUAAUAUAUGCUCAGCUCCUGGCUGUUCUUCCUUGAUGGGAGUUGAAUCCUCCUCUUUGCUCUGGAACUGGUUCUCUUUGAAGGGAAAACUAAACAAUCCCCUUGGUGAGCCACAACUACCCUAUCACACAGUCCUGCCCAAGCGCCAGGGUGGAUGUUAUAAGACCAUGGCUAGAAAGGCCACACAAAGUAAACAAUCACAUCACAGCACCUUGGACUCAUUUUUCGAGCGAAGUAUCAAAAAUCCCAUACGAACAGAUUGGUAAAGAACAUAAUCAACGGCAAGAACAUUUUCAUAAUUAUGUUUUCUGUAUUUGGAAGAAAUCUAUAGCACUAUUCUUAUUUUGCCAGUUCACAGGGAUCACAGAGAUUAGUGGUAGAUAUUGCAGUACCGGAAAACUCUCUGGUGAAACAGUCUGUGAGCAGUCUUACAAACACGGAUAUUCCACCAGAGUCAAAAGAAUGACGUUACAUUAAUCAUCAUAGAGAACAUUUCAAGAUCUAGCCUGAAGUACAAUGUUGUCACUGAUAGGCUAAUAUCCAUACACUUACAAGGAAGACCAGUUUAUAUGACUAUUCAAAUUUAUGCACCAACCACCAAUGCCAAAGACAAAGAAAUUGAAGAUUUUAAACAACUUCUGCAGCCUGAGAUUGAUCAAACGUGCAAUCAAGAUGCAUUGAUAAUUACUGGUCAUUAGAAUGUUAAAGUUGGAAACAAAGAAGGAAAAGUAGUUGAAAAAUACAGCAUUGCUGAUAGAAAUGAUGCCAGAAAUCUCAUGAAAGAAGUUUGCAAGACCAGUGACUCAUCCACUGCAAAUAUUUUUUUUCACCAACAUAAACGGCAGCUAUACACGUGGACUUUACCAGUUGGAAUACACAGGAAUCAAACUGACUACAUCUGUGGGAAGAGAAGAUGGGAAAACUCAUAUCAUCAGUCAGAACAAGGCCAGGGAUCGAUUGUGAAACAGACUGUCAAUUGCUCAUAUGGGAGUUCAAGUUGAAACGGAAGAAAAGUAGAAUAAGUCAAAAAGGGCCAAAGUAUGACCUUGAGUAUAUCUCACCUGUAUUUAGAGACCACCUCAAGAAUACAUUUUAUGUGGUAAACACUAAUGACUGAAGACCAGGUGAGUUGUGGAAUGACAUCAAGGACAUCACACAUGAAGAAAGCAAGAGGUCCUUUAAAAGACAGGAAAGAAAGAAAAGACCAUAAUGGAUGUCGGAAGAGACUCUGAACCUUGCUCUUGAAUGUCGAGUAGCUAAAGGGAAAGGAAGAAAUGACGAAGUAAUAGAGCUGAACAGAAGAUUUCAAAGGGUGGCUUGAGAAGAAAAAGUAUUAUAAUGACAUGUGUAAAGAUCUGGAGAUGGAUAACCAAAACGGAAGAACACACUCAGCAUUUCUCAAGCUGAAAGAACUGAAGAAAAAAUUCAACCCUUGAGUUGCAAUACUGAAGGAUUCUACGGGUAUAAUAUUAAAUGACGCAGGAAGCAUCAAAAGAAGAUGAAAGUAAUACCCACAGUCACUAUGCCAAAAAGAAUUGGUCGACCUUCAACCAUUUCAGGAAGUAGCAUAUGAUCAGAAACCGAUGGUACUGAAGGAAGAAGUCCAUGCUGCACUGAAGGAAUCGGUGAGAAAAAAAAGCCUCCGAGAAUUGAUGGAAUACCAACUGAGAUGUUUCACCAAAUGGAUGCAGCACUGGAAUCGCUCACUUGUCUAAUCCCAAGAAAUUUGGAAUACAGCUACCUGGCCUACGAACUGGAAAGGAUCCAUAUUUACGCUGAUUCCUAAGAAAGGUGAUCCAACCAAAUGUGGAAAUUAUCAAACAACAUCAUUAAUAUCACAUGCAAGUAAUAUUCUGCUAAAAAUCAUGCAAAAGCAGCUGCAGCAGUACAUUGACAGGGAACUGCCAGAAAUUUAAGCAGGAUUCAGAAGAGGACAUGGAAGGAGGGAUAUCACAGCUGAUGUCAUAUUGAUUCUGGCUGAAAGCAGAGAAUACCAGAAAGAUGUUUACCUGUGUUUUAUUGACUAUGCAAAGGCAUUUGACUGCUUGGGUAAUAACAAAUUAUGGAUAACAUUGCGAAGAGUGGGAAUUCCAGAACACUUAAUUGUGCUGAUGAGGAACCUGAUCAAGAAGUAGACGUUCAAACAGAAAAAGGUGAUACUGCGUGGUUUAAAGUCAGGAAAGGUGUGUGUCAGGGUUGUAUUCUUUUACAAUACUUAUUUAAUCUGCAAAUAAUCUGAGAAGCUGGACUUUACCAAGAACACGACAUCAGCAUUGGAGGAAGACUCAUUAACAACCUGCAUUUUGCAGAUGACACAACCCUGCUUGCUAAAAGAUAAGAGGGCUUGAAGCACUUACUGAUGAAGAUCAAAGACCGCGGCCUUCAGUAGAGAUCGCACCUCAACAUAAAGAAAACAAAAAUCCUCACAACUGGACCAAUGAGCAACAUCAUGAUCAAUGGAGAAAAGACUGAAGUUGUCAAGGAUUUCAUUUUAUUUGGAUCCACAAUCGACACCCAUGGAAACAGCAGUUAAGAAAUCAAAAGAUGCAUUGCAUUAGGCAAAUCGGCUGCAAAAGACCUCUAAAGUGUUGAAAAGCAAAGACAUCACCUUGAAAACUAAGAUGCAACUGAUCCAAGCCACAGUGUUUUCAGUGGCCUCGUAUGUGUGGGAAAGCUGGCUGAUGAAUAAGGAAGACCGAAGAAGAAUUGAUGCCUUUUAAUUGUGUUGGUGAAGAAUUCUGAAUAUACCAUGAACUGCCAAAAGAACGAAAAAAUCUAUCCUGAAAGAAGUAUAACCAGAAUGUACCCUAGCCUAGAAACAAAGAUGGCUGGCUAGACUACAUCCUACAUACUUUGGACCUGUUUUCAGGAGGAAUUAGUCCAUGGAGAAGGAUAUCAUGUACUAUUUCUUUGGACUAUCUAAGACCUGAAGAACAAAAUCUCAUGGUCCAAAUUAACGUUUUUACUUACUAAUUUUCAAAUGUAGCCCUGGUGGAAGAGUGGUUAAGAGCUUGGCUGAAACUAAAAGGUUUCAACCAGCCUCUCCUUAGAAGCCCUGCUAUGCAGUUCUAUUCUGUCCAAUAGGGUCACUGUUAGUUAAAAUUUAAUCCACAGCAAUGAGUUAUUUAAUUUUCAAAUAUAAAUUUUUUGUGUUUAUGUCUAAAUUCUAAAGUAAAUUUUAUUUUAUAAACUUCCGGUUUUAUAAAUUUAUUUUCUAUUAUUCAAAUUUAUUAUUAUGGCAGAAUCAAAUUUAAAAAGUGACAUUAAUUUUCAAUCCAGGCAAAAUGAAACGGCAAUAACUAAGUGCCGUACAAAAAUGGAAGCCUGCAGAAGAUAAAAAGAAAAUGAUCUGUGAAUCCCUAAAGACUAUUCCAAAAUUCGUUUUUAGAAUGUAAUAAAUCAGCAGAGACUUCUUGCAUUAAAGGUACGUGCUUAAUGGGUGGGAAUCAUCUUACUAGUACCACUAGUGCUGAAAUUAACGAUGGCAAUACUAAUAUAACAGAAUUUGUUCCAAAUUCUGCAACUAUUUCUUGCUGUAGUAAAAAAAAAAGAAAUUAGUAA